Molecule: ribosomal RNA, 141 nt
Filed under: uncultured bacterium
Lineage: Bacteria
Description: partial 16S rRNA
Rfam family: Bacterial small subunit ribosomal RNA
Source: RNAcentral
UGGGGAAUUUUCAGCAAUGGGCGAAAGCCUGACGGAGCAAUGCCGCGUGGAGGUGGAAGGCCUACGGGUCGUCAACUUCUUUUCUCGGAGAAGAAACAAUGACGGUAUCUGAGGAAUAAGCAUCGGCUAACUCUGUGCCAG